UAUCAACGGCAUCACGAGGAUCCUACUGUCUCCCCCCUCUAAUCAGUGAAACUGAUCUCCCCGUGAAGAAGCGGGGAUAUACAUAUAAGACGAGAAGACCCCAUGGAGCUUUAAACCUGACAGCACCCGCUCAUUCUAUACCCCAUUAUUUGCCCGACCCCUGUCUGCUCAGUUUUAGGUUGGGGUGACCACGGAGUAUAAAAUAACCUCCAUGAAGAAGGGGAUAUUUCCCUUAUUAGAGAACCACACUUCCAAGAACUAAUAAAUUAAUUUUCAAUGACCCGAUACCCGAUAAUCGAUCAACGAACCAAGUUACCCUGGGGAUAACAGCGCAAUCCACCCUGAAAGCCCUUAUUAACAGGUGGGUUUACGACCUCGAUGUUGGAUCAGGGUAUCCCAGUGGUGCAGCAGCUACUGAGGGUUCGUUUGUUCAACGAUUAA
Molecule: ribosomal RNA, 441 nt
Filed under: Boophis quasiboehmei
Lineage: Eukaryota; Metazoa; Chordata; Amphibia; Anura; Mantellidae
Description: partial 16S ribosomal RNA
Rfam family: Bacterial large subunit ribosomal RNA
Source: RNAcentral